UACGUAGGGGGCUAGCGUUGUCCGGAUUUAUUGGGCGUAAAGAGCGUGUCGGCGGCCAGGUAGGUCUGCUGUGAAAACUCGAGGCUCAACCUCGAGACGUCGGCGGAAACCAUCUGGCUAGAGUCCGGAAGAGGAGAGUGGAAUUCCUGGUGUAGCGGUGAAAUGCGCAGAUAUCAGGAAGAACACCCGUGGCGAAGGCGGCUCUCUGGGACGGUACUGACGCUGAGACGCGAAAGCGUGGGGAGCGAACAGG
This 253-nucleotide ribosomal RNA is filed under the name uncultured bacterium. RNAcentral describes it as "partial 16S ribosomal RNA". It matches the Rfam family "Bacterial small subunit ribosomal RNA", at positions 524 to 776 of the family's 1533-position model. The record is from RNAcentral.